CACAUGCAAGUCGAACGAGAAAGUUCUCUUCGGAGAAUGAGUAGAGUGGCGCACGGGUGAGUAACACGUGGAUAAUCUGUCUUCGGGAACGGGAUAACCAAUCGAAAGGCUGGCUAAUACCGUAUGAAGUUUUUGACUCUUGGGUCAAAAAUGAAAAGGUGCCUCUGAUGCAAGCAUCUGCUUGAAGGUGAGUCCGCGUACCAUUAGCUUGCUGGUGGGGUAAGAGCCUACCAGGGCGACGAUGGUUAGCUGGUCUGAGAGGAUGAUCAGCCACACUGGAACUGAAACACGGUCCAGACUCCUACGGGAGGCAGCAGUGAGGGAUUUUGCGCAAUGGGGGAGACCCUGACGCAGCAACGCCGCGUGAGUGAAGAAGGCCUUUGGGUCGUAAAGCUCUGUCAACAGGGAAGAAGUUACUGUAUAUGAACAGUGUAUGGUAUUGACGGUACCUGUGGAGGAAGCACCGGCUAACUCCGUGCCAGCAGCCGCGGUAACACGGGGGGUGCAAGCGUUAUUCGGAAUUAUUGGGCGUAAAGGGCGCGCAGGCGGUCUUGCCGGUCAGGUGUGAAAGCCCGGGGCUCAACCCCGGAAGAGCAUUUGAAACAGCAAGACUUGAGUACAGGAGAGGAAAGCGGAAUUCCUGGUGUAGAGGUGAAAUUCGUAGAUAUCAGGAGGAACACUCAUGGCGAAGGCAGCUUUCUGGACUGAUACUGACGCUGAGGCGCGAAGGUGUGGGUAGCGAACAGGAUUAGAUACCCUGGUAGUCCACGCUGUAAACGAUGUGCACUAGGUGUUGGGGCGAUGAAGCCUAGGUGCCGAAGCAAACGCGAUAAGUGCACCGCCUGGGGAGUAUGCUCGCAAGGGUGAAACUCAAAGGAAUUGACGGGGGCCCGCACAAGCGGUGGAGCAUGUGGUUUAAUUCGAUGAUACGCGAGGAACCUUACCAGGGUUUGACAUAUGCCGGGAGUCGCGGGAGACCGCGGUGCCUCUUUUGAGGCCGGUAUACAGGUGCUGCAUGGCUGUCGUCAGCUCGUGCUGUGAAGUGUUGGGUUAAGUCCCGCAACGAGCGCAACCCCUACUGUCUGUUGCCAACAGGUGAAGCUGGGGACUCAGACGGAACUGCCGGUGACAAACCGGAGGAAGGUGGGGACGACGUCAAGUCAUCAUGGCCCUUAUGUCCUGGGCUACACACGUGCUACAAUGGCCGGUACAGAGUGAGGCGAAACCGAGAGGUGGAGCAAAUCACAGAAAGCCGGUCUUCAGUUCGGAUCGGAGUCUGAAACCCGACUUCGUGAAGGUGGAAUCGCUAGUAAUCGCGCAUCAGCAUGGCGCGGUGAAUACGUUCCCGGGCCUUGUACACACCGCCCGUCACACCACCCGAGUUGGGGGUACCCGAAGUCGCUAGUCUAACCGGUAACGGGGGACGGCGCCGAAGGUAUGCCUGGUAAGGGGGG
RNAcentral lists this ribosomal RNA (1454 nucleotides) under uncultured Desulfobacteraceae bacterium. Its description in RNAcentral is "bacterial SSU rRNA". It matches the Rfam family "Bacterial small subunit ribosomal RNA". The record is from RNAcentral. Lineage: Bacteria; Pseudomonadati; Thermodesulfobacteriota; Desulfobacteria; Desulfobacterales; Desulfobacteraceae.